Molecule: ribosomal RNA, 253 nt
Filed under: uncultured bacterium
Lineage: Bacteria
Description: partial 16S ribosomal RNA
Rfam family: Bacterial small subunit ribosomal RNA
Source: RNAcentral
UACGUAGGGUGCAAGCGUUGUCCGGAAUUACUGGGCGUAAAGGGCUCGUAGGUGGCCAACUAAGUCAGACGUGAAAUCCCUCAGCUUAACUGGGGAACUGCGUCUGAUACUGGAUGGCUUGAGAUUGGGAGAGGGACGCGGAAUUCCAGGUGUAGCGGUGAAAUGCGUAGAUAUCUGGAGGAACACCGGUGGCGAAGGCGGCGUCCUGGACCAACACUGACACUGAGGAGCGAAAGCCAGGGGAGCAAACGGG